CCUAAGUCACCCACAAGUUGGGGGAGUUGCAGGGAAGUGACCCCAUGGUGAGACCUGUGUUCACCCUCAUGGGGGUCCCACCAGGGCCUUGCCCACAGUAUGGGUUGGUAAAGACUGGAGUGAGGAAAUGCCUGGGUGAAUGAAUAGAAGCUUCCACAGGCUGUUGUUUUUCUGUUAGCCUUUCUGAGAGAAGGAAGUGCUGUCCUGAAUGGGAUCAGACACCACUCUUAGAGCUGACGUCAGGACUGGCUAGGGAGAGAGAGGUUGGAAUUUGCCCUCACUUUCCCAUGGGGCUCUGGAAUAAACAGCUCCCAGGAGAAGCAGGGCUAGACUGCAGAGGAGACCACGAACAGGCCCGUGCAGAACAUCCUUGGAGCAUGGGGUGCCUCAGUGGAGGGGGCUUGUGUCCUAAAGACUGAAUGACACACCCAGAGGAUGGUGGUACAGUGGCACAACCAGCCCGUGGAGGCAUUGCCUCAGCAGCCAGCAUGUUCUUGAGCACCACAUCUGGCGGCAGGCAGCUUGGUGCGCCAUCUUGGGCUCUAUUAGUGCAACACAGUAUUUUCAGGGGUGCAGUAAGAGAAUAAGUAAAGGCCAAUGUUUUAGUCAGCUUUUUCACUGCUGUAACUAAAAGACCUGACCAGCACAAUUGUAGAGGAGGAAAAGUUUAUUUAAGGGCUCAUGAUUUCAGAGGUCUCAGUCCAUAGUGGCUGGCUCCAUUUCUCGGGGCUCAAGAUAAGGUUGGACAUCAUGGUGGAAGAGUAUGGUGGAGGGAGGCAGUUCACAUGAUGAUCAGAAAACAGAGAGAGACUCUGCUGGCCAGAUACAAAUAUAUACCCCAAAGCAACACCUCCAAUUCCCACAUCCUCCAGCUACACCCCACCUGCCUCCAGUUCCCACCCAGUUAAUCCCAUCAGGGAGCACUUCAUUGAUUAGGUUAAGGCUACAACCCAAUCAUUUCUCCUCUAAACCUUCUUACUUUGUCUCACACAUGAGCUUUUGGGGGACACCACAUCUAAACCAUCCCAGCCAAGAUAAGCCAUCAGUCAGAAGAAUCUUAUUUCCUAUUCUAGCCAGAAUUUCUUUAAUUUAUUGCUAUUUUUAUCUAUCAUUCCCCACGAGGAAUAGUUUGGUAUUGAAGUUAAGGCAUCAAGGUUCAAGGAGUGGUUCAACUGCAGUCUGGCUUUUUGACUUUAGGUAAGUACAAUAGGGGGUCACAUUGCCUGUAUUACAACCUGUAUUACAGAGACUCUGCC
This 1256-nucleotide long non-coding RNA is filed under the name Marmota monax (woodchuck). The record is from RNAcentral. Lineage: Eukaryota; Metazoa; Chordata; Mammalia; Rodentia; Sciuridae.